UCUAAGGUGGCAGAUCAGUGCACUGGAUUUAAGCCUCAGUAAGGUAAUUAUUUAUUACCCUUAGAA
Molecule: transfer RNA, 66 nt
Filed under: Thor amboinensis
Lineage: Eukaryota; Metazoa; Arthropoda; Malacostraca; Decapoda; Hippolytidae
Description: tRNA-Leu
Source: RNAcentral